This 587-nucleotide ribosomal RNA is filed under the name uncultured bacterium. RNAcentral's name for it is "partial 16S ribosomal RNA". It matches the Rfam family "Bacterial small subunit ribosomal RNA", at positions 355 to 938 of the family's 1533-position model. The record is from RNAcentral.
UGGGGAAUAUUGCACAAUGGGCGCAAGCCUGAUGCAGCCAUGCCGCGUGUGUGAAGAAGGCCUUCGGGUUGUAAAGCACUUUCAGCGAGGAGGAAGGUGGUGAGCUUAAUACGCUCAUCAAUUGACGUUACUCGCAGAAGAAGCACCGGCUAACUCCGUGCCAGCAGCCGCGGUAAUACGGAGGGUGCAAGCGUUAAUCGGAAUUACUGGGCGUAAAGCGCACGCAGGCGGUUUGUUAAGUCAGAUGUGAAAUCCCCGGGCUCAACCUGGGAACUGCAUUUGAAACUGGCAAGCUAGAGUCUCGUAGAGGGGGGUAGAAUUCCAGGUGUAGCGGUGAAAUGCGUAGAGAUCUGGAGGAAUACCGGUGGCGAAGGCGGCCCCCUGGACGAAGACUGACGCUCAGGUGCGAAAAGCGUGGGGAGCAAAACAGGAUUAGAUACCCUGGUAGUCCACGCUGUAAAACGAUGUCGAUUUUGGAGGUUGUGCCCUUGAGGCGUGGCUUCCGGAGCUAACGCGUUAAAUCGACCGCCUGGGGAGUACGGCCGCAAGGUUAAAACUCAAAGGAAUUGACGGUCUAGCUGUUUCCU